ACGGGCAUCAGAGAUGUGGAAGAUGAGGAACUAAGAUGCUUUUACUUCGGAAUGUCACCUUGACAUCUUUCUUUUGUGAUUGCUUUGUACACAGCUUGGUACGAAGAGACAGAUGAAAAAUAUUUACUCUCCCCUCCUAGAAAGACUAUUGGCCCUCUAUAUCAGUAUUGAAUAGGUUCAGGUAAAAUCUUCGGUUCGCUUUGGUUUGGUAUACAAUGAUUUUGGUUCCAGUUGGUGGCGUUAUGCUUUGAUAGAUUUAAAGUGUUAUCUGCCUGACUAAAUUCUUGAUGGCGCAAGGUAUAUACUCACGAUCACCGAAGAAGGUUACGUCGGAGAACCGAACGGAUUUGUGUGUAUUUCUUUGGUGCGGGGUCGUAUAGUAAUUACAGAAAUUAGGUAGGACCACUUCCUUCAAAAUUAGACAGCUGCCACAUUAUACAGUAGAUCCUGUAAUUUGUUCCUCAUGGAGUCCUAGUGAAGUUUAAGAUCAAUAAAUUUUUUUUCCGAUAAA
This 511-nucleotide long non-coding RNA is filed under the name Brassica napus (rape). RNAcentral describes it as "long non-coding RNA (BNAP_LNC003721)". Lineage: Eukaryota; Viridiplantae; Streptophyta; Magnoliopsida; Brassicales; Brassicaceae. The record is from RNAcentral.